Cyanistes caeruleus (blue tit) is the source of this 912-nucleotide non-coding RNA. The record is from RefSeq and is a predicted model, not a curated record. NCBI's taxonomy places the organism in Eukaryota, Metazoa, Chordata, Aves, Passeriformes, Paridae.
GAUUCCCUUUCCAGGGCACAGAGUGUUGCCUGAGAACUCCUCAACACAGGGUCCUCCUGCAACGAGCACGCCAAGAGCCGCUCUGGACGCUGACGCUGUGCGUGCACCAGGGCAACCUCCCCCUGACCACGCUGUGACGUGGCAGCCCUCCGCUGACAUCACAAUAGCAGCCGCUCUAGGUGGGUCUGUGAAUUUAUGCAUAGUAACAGAACCUUCUCUGCAGCUAAUGCAAAAGAAAGCCCAGAAAGUUCUCGUCUGUCCCAAAGCAGCACAAACCCUCCUUGCAGUCCAGAACCCAUAGCUCAAAGGAUCCAAGAGUAACACUAAACAGGCCCCAAGCACAUGCACCCUCUCCUUUGGCCACCAGUGCUUCUGACUAAAACAAGUAACACUUGCUUCAUUUCUAUGGGUGCAAUCACGCUUUGGUAAUAUCCCGGAGAGUCCCCUUAAUUGAAAUGCUUGUCAUGCCUGCCCAUUUACUGCAUGGCUAACAUCGACCAGCACACUGUAGGCUCGCUGAAGGAACAAGGAUACCAUAGUGGGGAAACAGUGCCAAGUAACAAACUAGCCAGAGGUGUUUGCAUGACACUGGAGCAGCAUUUGUGUUGUCAGUAUGGCAGGGACAGUAUGGCAGUGCCCAUGUCCUGUGCGUGGCAGGGGAUGCCCUUGGAGCAGCCCUCACAGUGUGGGUGCACCCACGGGUGCAUUUCCACUCCCACCGGCUCCCAGGUCAGCCCUUCACUUGACAAAGAGCUCUGUCCAGCACGGAGCUUUGCAAAAAGCCACUGCCUUUGGCUUGUGGGAAACCUGCGAGGUCAGAUUCCUCCAUGGAUGUGGCUUGGAAAUCUCUCUCCUGCCUGUUAUAAAUCACGCAAUUCUCUGGUUGGUUAAGAAAGUAAAAGUUCUAAUGAU